This 1290-nucleotide long non-coding RNA is filed under the name Equus asinus (donkey). Its description in RNAcentral is "lncRNA (ENSEASG00005034158.1)". Lineage: Eukaryota; Metazoa; Chordata; Mammalia; Perissodactyla; Equidae. The record is from RNAcentral.
UGGCCCGGGUCGGGUCUUCCACUCCACUGUUUGGCUCGGAGAGGACGAAGACGAGCUCGGUGCGCAGGGGGCCGGCAGCGGCCAUAAAUCACCACGCGGGCCCUCCUUCCCGCAGCUCACGCGCGGGGCCUCGCGGCCGGCUUCGCGUCCCGGGCCGCACCGGGCGCCCUGCUCUCCCGGUCAGCGCCUGGGGGACCCGAGACUGUGCGGGGAACCUGGCCAGCAGUUUCCCCGUUCGCCAAAGACAGGGACCGGCCUCGCCGACUCGGUGCCACCAUCAUGCAUCCUUGCGGUCGCCAGACCCCGAAGCAACCCGGGCCUCACCGGAUCGCUGCCUAGGGAAUUAUUCAAGGCUGGUUUCGGUUCUCUUCUGGCGACGACCGCAUCUUCGUACUCAAGGCACAGAUUACGGGUCAGCUCAAUUCGCCAGCGGCCGGAGGCUGCCUCCAAGCACCGAGCAGGACGGGAGGGAUGCUCUGCAAGCCGCGUCCGGCUGGAGGCGGCGGAGGCCUGAACGGGUCAUGGUCCCCGAAGUCACUAGGGACAGGGGACGUGGAUGGAAUAUAAGAGGGGAGAUCGACAGUCAAUCCCACCUCUGUCCCUUUCCGCCUGUGACCCCGGUCAGCUCAGUCUUCUCAUCUGUGACAUGGGCGUUGACACGAGUGUUCAGCAUGGGAACCCACCCCCGUCGUCUUCCACUGGUGCUGUCACCCGCGGCCUGGCUGAGCCGGGCACAGUGGGAGCCUCUGCAGGGCCCAGGGAAGGGGCAUGGCGGUGCCGAAGGACACGAGAAAUGGAAAGAGAGGGUUCAGCCACUCUGGCCUCCCAGGGGCGGCGAUGUGAGAACACGGCCCCAAGAUCCUUUGACGCUCCUCCUGUGGAAAGGUGGGGUUCCCGUUCCCUCCCCUUGAUGCUGGCCUCCAUGGCAGAAGGUGACGGAGUCGACAGUCCUCCCAGAACUGCCAGCUCCUGCUUUUUGCCUCUUGGGUGCUCCCUCUUGGAACCCAGCCGCCAUGCUGCGAGGAAGCCCAGAGGUCCCGAGGACAGGCCCGCGUGGAAGGCCCGGUUGUGCGUGUGUGUGUGUGUGUGUGAGCUCCUCAGAAAAGGGCAUCCAGCCCCAGUAGGUGCCCCAGCAGACGCCACGUGGAGCGGGGGUGAGCUGACCCUGCCAAGAUCGGCCCAAAUUGCAGAUUCACAAGCAAAUAAAUAAUUGUCGUCAUUGUGAGCCAGGAGCAUUGGGGUGGUGUGUUACACGGCAAUAGGUGACUAAAACGCAAGGUUCAGCUGAAA